Molecule: long non-coding RNA, 1456 nt
Filed under: Rattus norvegicus (Norway rat)
Lineage: Eukaryota; Metazoa; Chordata; Mammalia; Rodentia; Muridae
Description: long non-coding RNA NONRATT021729
Rfam family: tRNA (bases 1388-1456)
Source: RNAcentral
GGUGCACACUCUUGCAGGCUUCCUACUAACCCAGACUGACUCACACCAUCUAACUGCUCAGUGGUUGUUUAUAGACACUUAAGAAAGACAAGCUGAGCGUGGUCCUCGUCCUAUAGCCAGUUCUGUCACUCAGGUAGAGCCUGAUUAGUCUCAUAGCAUUGGAGGUCACAAACGCCAUUUCCAGGGUGACCUCUUUCUGUGUGCCCACAUGAUGCAAAGGGGUCAAGUUCUAUGCCCUGGACAAAGAAGUAUGUUUGCCUAUGACCCCAUACCAGGGCCUUCUUUCAGAACUAGGAUAGCAUUGUCCUGUCUGUUGGGGAGGAUGGUUUAGAUAGACUGCAGCUCCAGCCUCCUUUUGCUUUGGCCAGCUGGCCUUCUCACUUUGAUACUUUAACUCAGGUACCCAGUCUUCACUCCAUCCCAAUGCUUGUUCACCUCAUAAUGAGCACCUAGAGCAAGGACCAAAAGAAAAAAAAACCCUAAUUAAAACCAAUGCAUAUUCAUGCCAAAACAAAUGGUCCCCAUGCCCGUUUAAAAGGUUAACUUUGUCUGACAAUAUUGCAUCAGCUUUGGGCAAGAGUACCACAGGACGCUAUGACCUUGCUGGGCUAGCAUUUGCUGCUGUAAUUUAGUUGCCCUGGUAUAAAAGAGAACCCACAGGGCUGUGGGAGAGACAAUCCAGUGGCAACCCACUGACUUCUCUCUCCAUUCCACAGGAACCCUAUCUUCCCCGACCCCAAAUGUCACUGUGACCCAUAAGCUGAAAUUGUUUCUAACUGCCUAAAGGCAGUUUCUGUUCUGAAGGAAGAGUCUGGAGCUUCAAAGAGACAGGGAAGCCUGUACUGAUUCCCCAUCUUCCUCUAGCAGACUGUCUUGGGAAGGACCUUCAGUCCUGGACAGGCCCUGUCAUGGCUUCUCACUGUCUUACCCCUGCUCACUCACCAGGCCCACAGUUGUCUGCACUCAGUGCUGCUUGUAACACAUCUGUUAUCCUGCCUACCUGUACUUUUUGCUCCCCAUCCCUGUUGCCUUUGAGUUUCUUGGAAUCGUGGCUGUCCUCGAAAUCUCUUCUGUUCAGCCCUUCUGUAGCCUUGCUCAAUGGUGUUUUUAGCACUUGAUCUGAGAAAAGCUUGCCCAUAAUUUAAUGCUUCUUUUCCUUAAAAAAAAAUCCCACUAAAGGGAAGCAUUUUUUGAUCCCCUUGUCCAUGCUUGUGCCUAGCCCGGGUGAAUGAGGCUGGCUGUGUUGGCCUGGGUGACUUGUGGUUGUAGAGGUGGCCAUCACUCUGCACUGUUGAUGGCUGGCUGCUCCAGUUUUAGGUCCUUUGUAUACUCAGUGUGUCCCGGCAAUGAAGGCUUCCUACUCCUUAAGAGGUACAGUUGGGGGGUUGGGGAUUUAGCUCAGCGGUAGAGCGCUUGCCUAGCAAGCGCAAGGCCCUGGGUUCGGUCCCCAGCUCCG